Molecule: long non-coding RNA, 3013 nt
Organism: Acanthopagrus latus (yellowfin seabream)
Lineage: Eukaryota; Metazoa; Chordata; Actinopteri; Spariformes; Sparidae
Exons: 4
Source: RefSeq, a predicted model, not a curated record
UCUUUCCAUCUUUCUGUGACCUGUUCUGUCGCAUGAGCCUGGAAUGACUUCACAGGUGGCGACUCAGGAUCUGGAUUCUGUAGUUUCUUCUUAAUUUUGUGCACAAUAUGUGGAAGUACAGACAGUGUGACAUAUUGUUGUCCACUCAUAAACACUGUGGCUGAGUUAAAGGGCUCAAGGACCUGAUUCAGCUCCUCAGUCAGGCUCCACUGGUCAGUCUUGAGAUCCAGGUAGUGUUUCUCUCUGGGUAACUGCUGGGUCAGACAGUGUAGCAGUCACUGGCCAUCUCUGUUCUUGCAGCGUGGACAACAUGGCAUAGGUGCUGUUCCAGGGUUUGUGUGCAGACAUCCUGCAGCAGCAUGUUCUCCUUGGCACCCAUUUACUUCUGGUUGACCCUCAACUUUGUGCAUGCCAGUUCACUCUUCUUGAAGUGUUCAACAAAGCUUCUCGCAGCAGCCACACACUUGGAGAUCGCCUGUUGGCUUUUCAGAGUUUUUCACGACCAAGGUUAGGGUGUGUCCUGCACAUUUCACCGAUGCCCAUCCAUGCUUUUCAUGCAAAAUCUUUGCUGCUGUUGCGACAUUAGCACCAUCGUCAUGGACGAUGGCCUUGAUUUUCUCCGGUAUAAUGUUGAAUUUGGCAAUGACCUCCUCAAUCCAUUCUGCAAUAUUUGCAGCUUUGUGUCUCUCUUCCAGGGGCAUCAUUGUCAGGCAGCGAGACACCAUUUUCCAAUUCUUUAGAUAGUGGCAAGUCACCCCCCAUAUAAGCCUCUGUUGCAACACUCGUCCAGAUAUCAGUUGUGAGUGCCACGCUGUCAGUCUCUUGCAGGGCUUUCUUCAUCUUGACUUUUGACAUCUUCAUACUUUUUGUCCAACUGUUUUAUGAAGAAGGCUCUUGAUGCACUGUAAACCCGAACAGCACUACAAACUCAUAAGUAUUACGGACAAUUAAAUCAAAGUCGGUAAAAAGUUCACCCACCACUGAAGCAUUAAGUAUUCUUCUAUAUUUUUUAACGAAUUAUGUCGUAUUGGUCAGUAUGUCUGAGUGAACACAGUCAUUUAACUUGUAACAUCUAAGUUAACAGAUGUACGUGAGGGGACGUGACAUCUGACAUCACUUUGCCUCACCGUUCAGGAAAAUUCAAGAUGGCUGGACUUUAGCGAGCGAUGCGAACUGUUAACAACGCACAUUUUCUUUUUUGCCGUGCUGUUGCAAAAAAUUGUUAUCGUCUACAUUUUGGAUUCUGGAACCCGGACUUCAGGAUUUGAAAGUUUGUCGUGCAAACCGGUAAGUACAAAAGUUCAGAAAAUGUCAGUUAUCUUUUGUCAGACGCUGUGAAUAUAUAUGACAAAGUUACGUGUUACAAUAUUACACACAUUUAUAGCUGGUUUAAACUAAAGCUAACUUAGCAGUUAUCUUUAGUGUCAUUACAUUGCUAUGUUGCUACUUUGUUGCUGUCCUUAACGUUACUUCAGGCGUAGAAAGCGGCGCUCUGUGCGAUUAAAAAUCUGCCGAGGACAUGUCUCAUAGAUUUUGGUGAAAUGUUUUCAUAAUUGCAGUUGCUGCAUAUUUGGAAGUUUAUUUUCUAUUCAAUUUUCUAAUCGUCAUUGCAAAAAAUGAUAUGUGGUGAGGGAGUCUAAGGGAGUUGCCCUUGCUGAUAAGGAACUGACAAAAUAAUACAUGUACUAUAAUCCUUUACGUAUUUUGGCAACUUUACAUUGUUUGUGCUCUCUGUUAUGUGUUAUAGUCCCAUAGAACAAACUGCAUCACAGCAUAUUACCAGUAUCACCAGAUAUCACCGGUUUGUCAUUCUCCCUAGUAAGGUGCAUCAGUGUUGGUGGGUAAAGUAACAUUACUUGUGUACUAAAAACACCAUUUGAUUAUGGCAUUCAUCAUGAUUUGGAAAUUACACUUGUUUAAUCUGUCCCUGCAGUAUUUGUGUGACUUCUUCUACGGCAGUUCAAGGAAGUCCACAGGUGAGGGAAUUCUUGGAGAACUGGUCGGCCUUAUGAAUACAGUCACAGGAACAACAUGAUGUCAACAUGGGACACACUCUGGCCCUUCAUGCCCUUCCAGUCUAUAUCCGUGAGGGUGACACUGAGUUCUUUAAAACCUGUGAAGGUUAACAUGAGGACACUGCUGACACUCCUUUUGCGCUCCUGUCUGUGGUCCCUGACACUAUUGGUGCCAUCCACUUUAGCCCUGAUUGUGCAGCAUUUCUAUUGUGUUUUAGGAUGAAGUUGUUGUGAGUGAGCUUCCCAGGUUGGCUGAUGCAUGUGUACUGUUGUUUGGUUUAAUUUAUGCAUUGCAUUUAGAUUACCCAAAGAAACUCACUCACACAUUCACAUUUAUUCAGAAACUGCCCAUGCGUCUUGAUGAUAACAAACCAUUGAAACUGUGCCUACUGACCCUGAAAAAUGACUUGUUGAAAGAGUAAACAAGCUGAGAAAUUUGAGUGCAGGCACUCAUAAAUGUGAUCCAUAUCCAGUAUUGUUUUCUUAACAAGCACAGGUACUUUAACAACCAUGGUGUAUUGUAGGAUGUUCUUAAGACACAGAUAAAGUGUGUUCAGAUGUUAAAAGCACUUCUGUCCACGCAAAUGCCCAGUUGGCUUCUUAUAAGCUUAAAAUGAGAGGUAUAUAUUUUGUUCUCUUUAUUUUGUUAUAUUGCCUCAUCUACCUCACUCAUCAGUAUGCCCUGAUAUUUUAUAGCAUUCUGUUUUAUUUGGUAUAUUUUAGAUAUUUUUGUUGCUAUUUUUAUAAGAUAUGCAUGGGCAUGUGCAGAGAAGGGAAAGUUUGUUCAUCACCAAGGAUUCCAAAUUCAGGUUGCUAAAAUGUAUUUAAAAGAGCUGUUCAGAGUUCGACUCCAGGUGUUGCACUUUUAUGUCAUGUGACAUUUCAUGCUUUUAUUAAGCCCGAUAUAUUGUUCUUCAAAGGAAAAAAAAAUAAAAAUGUUAAUGCCUUUUUAAAAGGAAUGCUGUUUCAUACUUUAAUAAAACAAACUCGAAUACUGA